RNAcentral lists this ribosomal RNA (133 nucleotides) under uncultured bacterium. RNAcentral's name for it is "partial 16S ribosomal RNA". It matches the Rfam family "Eukaryotic small subunit ribosomal RNA", at positions 434 to 567 of the family's 1831-position model. The record is from RNAcentral.
GCGCAAAUUACCCACUCUCAGUUCGAGGAGGUAGUGACGAAAAAUAACGAGACGGUUCUCUAUGAGGCCCGUCAUCGGAAUGGGUACAAUUUAAACCCUUUAACGAGGAUCUAUUGGAGGGCAAGUCUGGUGC